Molecule: ribosomal RNA, 417 nt
Filed under: Triticum aestivum (bread wheat)
Lineage: Eukaryota; Viridiplantae; Streptophyta; Magnoliopsida; Poales; Poaceae
Description: partial small subunit ribosomal RNA
Source: RNAcentral
AUGGCGGCGGCCUCGAGCACGGGGAUAAGUGCAGGCUGGGGAUGCAGGAGAGGUGCAACGCGGUGUUUGGAGCUCCCACGAGCUGGGUGCGGCGCAUCCGACGACGACAGACACAGGGACGCGUUGAUCCGGGUGUGGGUGCUCAAUUCGGUCCCGUUCUGGCCGGAUCCGUGGCGGUGCUCAUCUCCGGCGAGGUGGCCUGUGACUCGCGGGACGACGGCGGCGCAAGACCACAGGAGGGGCUCAUCUCAUGGGACAUGGGCGCGAGGUCUUGUUGGCUUCGGUUGCCGGUGGCUUGACGCAGGGGUGGCCGGGGUCCGGCGCCAUGGAGGCUCUUCGAGGACGAGGAAGCAGACAGCGACGACAACUUUGAGGCCGGCGGGGGCGCCGUCUCCGCGUUCGAUGGUCGGGGUCUAA